RNAcentral lists this ribosomal RNA (829 nucleotides) under Ramularia trigonotidis. Its description in RNAcentral is "eukaryotic LSU rRNA". It matches the Rfam family "Eukaryotic large subunit ribosomal RNA", at positions 68 to 928 of the family's 3401-position model. Lineage: Eukaryota; Fungi; Ascomycota; Dothideomycetes; Mycosphaerellales; Mycosphaerellaceae. The record is from RNAcentral.
ACAGGGAUUGCCCCAGUAACGGCGAGUGAAGCGGCAACAGCUCAAAUUUGAAAUCUGGCGCAAGCCCGAGUUGUAAUUUGUAGAGGAUGCUUCUAGGUAGCGACCGGUCUAAGUUCCUUGGAACAGGACGUCACAGAGGGUGAGAAUCCCGUACGUGACCGGCCCGCACCUUCCACGUAGCUCCUUCGAAGAGUCGAGUUGUUUGGGAAUGCAGCUCUAAAUGGGAGGUAAAUUUCUUCUAAAGCUAAAUACCGGCCAGAGACCGAUAGCGCACAAGUAGAGUGAUCGAAAGAUGAAAAGCACUUUGGAAAGAGAGUUAAACAGCACGUGAAAUUGUUGAAAGGGAAGCGCUUGCAACCAGACUUUGGGGCGGUGUUCCGCCGGUCUUCUGACCGGUCUACUCGCCGUCCCGAGGCCAACAUCAUCUGGGACCGCCGGAUAAGACCUCGGGAAUGUAGCUCCCCUCGGGGAGUGUUAUAGCCCGUGGUGAUGCGGCGCGUCUCGGGUGAGGUCCGCGCUUCGGCAAGGAUGUUGGCGUAAUGGUUGCCAGCGGCCCGUCUUGAAACACGGACCAAGGAGUCUAACAUCUAUGCGAGUGUUCGGGUGUCAAACCCCUACGCGUAAUGAAAGUGAACGGAGGUGGGAAGGGCAACCUGCACCAUCGACCGAUCCUGAUGUCCUCGGAUGGAUUUGAGUAAGAGCAUGGCUGUUGGGACCCGAAAGAUGGUGAACUAUGCCUGAAUAGGGUGAAGCCAGAGGAAACUCUGGUGGAGGCUCGCAGCGGUUCUGACGUGCAAAUCGAUCGUCAAAUUUGGGUAUAGGGGCGAAA